UACGUAGGUGGCAAGCGUUGUCCGGAAUUAUUGGGCGUAAAGCGCGCGCAGGUGGUUUCUUAAGUCUGAUGUGAAAGCCCACGGCUCAACCGUGGAGGGUCAUUGGAGACUGGGGAACUUGAGUACAGAAGAGGAAAGUGGAAUUCCAAGUGUAGCGGUGAAAUGCGUAGAGAUUUGGAGGAACACCAGUGGCGAAGGCGACUUUCUGGUCUGUAACUGACACUGAGGCGCGAAAGCGUGGGGAGCGAACAGG
RNAcentral lists this ribosomal RNA (253 nucleotides) under uncultured bacterium. Its description in RNAcentral is "partial 16S ribosomal RNA". It matches the Rfam family "Bacterial small subunit ribosomal RNA", at positions 524 to 776 of the family's 1533-position model. The record is from RNAcentral.